Molecule: ribosomal RNA, 478 nt
Filed under: uncultured bacterium
Lineage: Bacteria
Description: partial 16S ribosomal RNA
Rfam family: Bacterial small subunit ribosomal RNA
Source: RNAcentral
GACGAACGCUGGCGGCGUGCUUAACACAUGCAAGUCGAACGGUAAGGCCCUUCGGGGUACACGAGUGGCGAACGGGUGAGUAACACGUGGGUGAUCUGCCCCGCACUUCGGGAUAAGCCUGGGAAACUGGGUCUAAUACCGGAUAGGACCCUGGGAUGCAUGUCCUGGGGUGGAAAGCUUUUGCGGUGUGGGAUGGGCCCGCGGCCUAUCAGCUUGUUGGUGGGGUGAUGGCCUACCAAGGCGACGACGGGUAGCCGGCCUGAGAGGGUGACCGGCCACAGUGGGACUGAGAUACGGCCCAGACUCCUACGGGAGGCAGCAGUGGGGAAUAUUGCACAAUGGGCGCAAGCCUGAUGCAGCGACGCCGCGUGAGGGAUGACGGCCUUCGGGUUGUAAACCUCUUUCAGCACCGACGAAGCGCAAGUGACGGUAGGUGCAGAAGAAGGACCGGCCAACUACGUGCCAGCCGCCGCAGUAA